This 292-nucleotide ribosomal RNA is filed under the name uncultured bacterium. RNAcentral's name for it is "partial 16S ribosomal RNA". The record is from RNAcentral.
GGACUACAGGGGUUUCUAAUCCUGUUUGCUACCCACGCUUUCGCUCCUCAGUGUCAGUACCGGCCCAGAGCACCGCCUUCGCCGCUGGUGUUCCUCCUGAUAUCUGCGCAUUUCACCGCUACACCAGGAAUUCCAUGCUCCCCUACCGGACUCUAGCCAGAGCAGUAUCGGGUGGUGUCCCAGGUUGAGCCUGGGGAUUUAACAUCCGACUUACUCAGCCACCUACGAGCUCUUUACGCCCAAUAAAUCCGGACAACGCUUGCCCCCUACGUGUUACCGCGGCUGCUGGCAC